CCUACGGGGGGCAGCAGUCGAGAAUCAUUCACAAUGGGGGGAACACUGAUGGUGCGACGCCGCGUGGGGGAAUGAAGGUCUUCGGAUUGUAAACCCCUGUCAUGUGGGAGCAAAUUAAAAAGAUAGUACCACAAGAGGAAGAGCCGGCUAACUCUGUGCCAGCAGCCGCGGUAAUACAGAGGUCUCAAGCGUUGUUCGGAAUCACUGGGCGUAAAGCGUGCGUAGGCUGUUUCGUAAGUCGUGUGUGAAAGGCGCGGGCUCAACCCGCGGACGGCACAUGAUACUGCGAGACUAGAGUAGUGGAGGGGGAACCGGAAUUCUCGGUGUAGCAGUGAAAUGCGUAGAUAUCGAGAGGAACAUUCGUGGCGAAGGCGGGUUCCUGGACAUUAACUGACGCUGAGGCACGAAGGCCAGGGGAGCGAAAGGGAUUAGAUACCCUGGUAGUC
Molecule: ribosomal RNA, 446 nt
Filed under: uncultured bacterium
Lineage: Bacteria
Description: partial 16S ribosomal RNA
Rfam family: Bacterial small subunit ribosomal RNA
Source: RNAcentral